GAUGAAGAACGCAGCGAAAUGCGAAAAGUAAUGUGAAUUGCAGAAUUCAGUGAAUCAUCGAAUCUUUGAACGCACAUUGCGCCCGCUGGUACUCCGGCGGGCACGCCUGUCCGAGCGUCAUUUCAACCCUCAUGCCCUCCUUCGGGAUGGGCCUGGUGUUGGGGCUCGGCCGCCAUCUCCGGCGGCCGUCCCCUAAAUACAGUGGCGGUCACGUCGCGACUCCUUUGCGUAGUAGAAACACCUCGCUCCGGAUAGCAACGCGGUCCACGCCGUAAAACCCCCAAUUUUCAAUGGUUGACCUCGGAUCAGGUGGGAAUACCCGCUGAACUUAAGCAUAUCAAUAAGCGGAGGA
This 352-nucleotide unclassified non-coding RNA is filed under the name soil metagenome. RNAcentral describes it as "partial contains 5.8S ribosomal RNA, internal transcribed spacer 2, and large subunit ribosomal RNA". The stretch from base 1 to 120 matches the Rfam family "5.8S ribosomal RNA", at positions 35 to 154 of the family's 154-position model. The record is from RNAcentral.